AGUGAACGCUGGCGGUAGGCCUAACACAUGCAAGUCGAACGGCAGCACAGUAAGAGCUUGCUCUUACGGGUGGCGAGUGGCGGACGGGUGAGGAAUACAUCGGAAUCUACUUUUUCGUGGGGGAUAACGUAGGGAAACUUACGCUAAUACCGCAUACGACCUACGGGUGAAAGCAGGGGAUCUUCGGACCUUGCGCGAUUGAAUGAGCCGAUGUCGGAUUAGCUAGUUGGCGGGGUAAAGGCCCACCAAGGCGACGAUCCGUAGCUGGUCUGAGGGGAUGGUCAGGCACACUGGAACUGGGACCGCGCCCCGGCCCCCUCGGGAGGGCGCAGGGGGGAAUUUUGGGCAAUGGGCGCAAGCCUGACUCCGCCCCUCCGCGGGAGUGAAGAAGGUCUUCGGAGUGUAAAACUCUUUUGGUAGGGAAAAAAAAAUGGGUAAUUAACCCCGCGCUUUUUGGCGGUACCCAAUAAAAAAGCCACGGCUAACUUCGUC
RNAcentral lists this ribosomal RNA (492 nucleotides) under uncultured bacterium. RNAcentral's name for it is "partial 16S ribosomal RNA". It matches the Rfam family "Bacterial small subunit ribosomal RNA", at positions 29 to 507 of the family's 1533-position model. The record is from RNAcentral.